UACGUAGGGUGCAAGCGUUGUCCGGAAUUACUGGGCGUAAAGGGCUCGUAGGCGGCCAACUAAGUCAUACGUGAAAUCCCUCAGCUUAACUGGGGAACUGCGUGUGAUACUGGAUGGCUUGGAUUUGGGAGAGGGAUGCGGAAUUCCAGGUGUAGCGGUGAAAUGCGUAGAUAUCUGGAGGAACACCGGUGGCGAAGGCGGCAUCCUGGACCAAUAUUGACGCUGAGGAGCGAAAGCUAGGGGAGCAAACGGG
RNAcentral lists this ribosomal RNA (253 nucleotides) under uncultured bacterium. RNAcentral describes it as "partial 16S ribosomal RNA". It matches the Rfam family "Bacterial small subunit ribosomal RNA", at positions 524 to 776 of the family's 1533-position model. The record is from RNAcentral.